Molecule: long non-coding RNA, 644 nt
Filed under: Homo sapiens (human)
Lineage: Eukaryota; Metazoa; Chordata; Mammalia; Primates; Hominidae
Description: HSALNT0301150
Source: RNAcentral
UCAGCCCUCAUGAAUGGAUUAGUUAUAUCAUCAAAGGGCUUGAUAAUAAAACUAGCUAGUCCCUUCAAUCCCUUCUGCCAUGUGAGGACAUUGUUGUUCCCCUCCAGAGGAAGCAGCGGUCAAGGCAUCAUCUUAGAGGCAGAAACCAAGCCCCCACCAGACACCAAAUCUGCCAGAGCCUUCAUCUUAGACUUUCAGCCUCCGUUAACUGAAGAAAAUGGUAUAUAAGCAGAGUCUGCACACAUACUACCACCCCACAGAGGGGAGGGAAAAAAGACCUAAUUAGAGCCAAAACCCUGAAUUCCAUCUCCUAUGUGUGAUCAUCUGUGCAGAUAAACACUCUCACCACAUCCUAGAAGGACAGUAGUGUUCAUUCACUCUGUGGGGAGAUCUUCCACUCUGUGAAAAAUUUAAAGUUAAACUGGAAAGUUUUAUAUUUGGGGAACUACUACCAAAUAUAAUUAACUAUUUUCUUUGAAGACCUCUCCCACCCAACUUCUUUCUAGACCACAGGAAUGAAAAUAAGCCCGUUGUGUAAUCUGCAAAGUAAAAGUAAAAGGCUGCAGUCCUGCUUUGACAUGGACCUUUCUCUCUCAAGUUCAAGCUUAUUUUUCUUAGUAAAAUUUCUAAGAGGGAAUGAUAUU